This 352-nucleotide ribosomal RNA is filed under the name uncultured Sphingobacteriales bacterium. Its description in RNAcentral is "bacterial SSU rRNA". It matches the Rfam family "Bacterial small subunit ribosomal RNA", at positions 1033 to 1382 of the family's 1533-position model. The record is from RNAcentral. Lineage: Bacteria; Pseudomonadati; Bacteroidota; Sphingobacteriia; Sphingobacteriales.
ACGAGGUGCUGCAUGGUUGUCGUCAGCUCGUGCCGUGAGGUGUCGGGUUUACGGGUCCAUAACGAGCGCAACCCCUACCUUUAGUUGCCAUCAGGUUAAGCUGGGGACUCUAAAGGAACUGCCUACGCAAGUAGUGAGGAAGGCGGGGAUGACGUCAAAUCAGCACGGCCCUUACGUCCAGGGCUACACACGUGCUACAAUGGCCGAUACAGAGGGCAGCUACCUGGUGACAGGAUGCAAAUCUCCAAAGUCGGUCUCAGUUCGGAUCGGAGUCUGCAACCCGACUCCGUGAAGUUGGAUUCGCUAGUAAUCGCGCAUCAGCCAUGGCGCGGUGAAUACGUUCCCGGGCCUU